Molecule: long non-coding RNA, 827 nt
Filed under: Homo sapiens (human)
Lineage: Eukaryota; Metazoa; Chordata; Mammalia; Primates; Hominidae
Description: non-protein coding LRRC75A-AS1:54
Rfam family: Small nucleolar RNA SNORD49 (bases 341-414)
Source: RNAcentral
UUGUUAUGGAGGUAGGCUCUCUAGGAAUCUGGGAGUAGUAGCUGGGGGGCAAGAGCAAAUAAAGAGCUCGAGCUUCUGUGGUCUCUGGGGAGAUGUUCCCGGGAAGCCUGUCUAGAGGGCGGAGGGCAGCUGUUGAGAUGGCGUGGCUCCCCGGCUCCUGCGCCCGCGUGGCUUUCGCGGCGGGCGCUGCGGCCCGGUAUUGGACAGCCUGGCAGGGCAGCGCGGGGCCGAAUCCGGCUGCCGUGGCUGAGGCUCAUGGAUCACUCUUUUGUGGUAGGGCCACAUCUGCCAGAGCCUGGAGUCUGCGAAGGCCGGGACCCGGUUCCCCGGCCCACAGUGGGGGUGUGCAAACCCGAGAGAACUGGGAAGUGCCGUCAGAAGCGAUAACUGACGACGUCUAAUGUCUAUCUGACCGCAGUCGCUGAAACCUCUACAACUUAGUUGACCGUAACUGCCAGAGCCCUGCCCUGAAUUCCUGUCCUUACUCCCUCUUUAAGAUUGCGUACCCACUGCAGAGUGCUGAAGACGGGGUAGCCACGAGGUUGCAAAUUCGUGAAGAAUCAGCAUCAUGUUUGGCAGCUGAGUAUUGGAGCCAGGAGCCUGCCAUGAGGUUUUGAGAACAGAGUGCUGUUUUAGAGCUGGCAGCAGCAUCUCAGCCCAAGAGAAGGUUAUAUUCCCAGAGGAUGUCAGUCCCAAGGACCAGUAGCUGCCAUCAGUUUGGAUUCUGAAAACUAACUGGCAUCAACACUGGGUGUAGAAACAUGCUUGCCUUAUGUAUCAGAGGACAUGCUCAGCAGAUCCAAGAGAUAUAUUUGGCAACUUUUUCU